This 61-nucleotide transfer RNA is filed under the name Heterosigma akashiwo. The record is from RNAcentral. Lineage: Eukaryota; Raphidophyceae; Chattonellales; Chattonellaceae.
AGCGUGGUUCAGUCAGCAGCGCGCUUGACUCACGUAGGUAAGGUCGUUGGUUCGAAUCCCA